Molecule: non-coding RNA, 156 nt
Filed under: chicken gut metagenome
Source: RNAcentral
UCCGCCGAAGGGCGGGUGAAAAGGGAAACCGGUGCAGAUCCGGUGCAACAGCCAUUACUGUGAGCGUUCAAACGCGGCGAGCGCCAUCGGCGACGAGAAGGCGGCCGCAUCCCGUGCAUCCCGUUCGGGAACGCAAGCCAGGAGACCUGCUCGGUG